GAACCUUGGAUAGGCCAGCCGUAAGUUGUUUGUUUGUCUCUUUGUUAGUCUGUGUCUAACCCUUGUGAGUUAGUGUAACAGAUGUGCAUAACCCGUUACAUGUUGUGUUCAUCUUCAGGUAACUGUGAAUGUACUAAUGUGUCAGUGAAAGUGUUUUUUGUUUAAUAAUGAUAAGAACUCUCUCUCUGCCCUUUAUGGGAUAAUUGUUCUAUAACUAAUCUCUCACUGUAACUAUAUUAAUAAGGAUUUACUGUAGAAUGAUACUAGUAAGGAUUGCCUACCAUCAGAUAUAGAGUGUAGUCAUUGGUUAUGGUUACACAAAUGAAAUUAGUUCUAACACUUCUUAUGGGAUUUGUUUGCAUCUAUCUGUUUUGGAAAUUUUGGCGGGAACAAAAGAAGGGUUGACCUGUAUGUGAAUUUUAGCCACCGAAACCCACUUUUGUGAAAAUCUGUAUAUUGGGAAUAUAUAGAUUUUUGUUUUGUGUAAAAGGGGGGAGUGUGAUCGUCUCCAGCCCAGUUCCAUAUGGAGAGAAUAUGGAGAGAAUAGGAGCUCCUGAGUCAUCACUGUCACCGGGAGGCAGUGAUGAAAGAUGGCCAGUGGGUAAGUGGCUAAAUAGACAAAUGGGCUAAAUUAACAAAACAGAUUGGUAUGGUUAUCCCAUGUGAUGGUGUACACUCAAAUGGGAUACCCUAUACAAAUUCAGUCAAAGUUUAUUGGAACAGAUGGAUGCUGAAAUUCUAUUAGAAUUGGGACACACAGUAGGGAUCAAUGUAACUAAGAUUAGAAGACACGGAGUGAGGGAGAAGUAGAGGGUUAUGACCAAAUGAGAGAAAUAAAGGGAGUAGUUCUGUCAGUAGUAGUAGCUUUAAUAACCAGACUGAGGGCUAAGUGGGAUAAACUUUAACACUCAGUUGGUGAAGGGAAAUAUAGACACCCAUGGAAAGUGUAUGUAUAUGUAUGGGUAUAUAGAUAUAUUGCUAAACUGGUAUGUUUGACAGUGAUUUUGUGGAUAACAGUCAUUAUUGCUAUCAAAGUAAGUAUAGAUUCACAAAAUUAAAGGUGUCAAUGUCACUUUAAGUAAUUGUUAGAAAAGACUGUAAGCAUAUUCAAAGGGAAAGAUAACAUUACUGCAGGGAAUGAUAAGGCAGAUAAAGCUGCUGACAAACAGGCUGCUUGUAUGGUUCUAACAGGGACACCAACUGACAGCCACAUACACCAACUGACAGCCACAUACACCAACUGACAGCCACAUACACCAACUGACAGCCACAUACACCAACUGACAGCCACAUACACCAACUGACAGCCACAUACACCAACUGACAGCCACAUACACCAGUGACUUAAGUAAUUUUUAAAACGCUGCAAAAGUAAGGCUGUGGCACAAGUCCAUAUUAAAUGGACCAGUAAAUGUUAUAAGAUAUAAGAUGAUAUUUGGAAACAUGAUUAUGGUUGUUUGUGUGCACCUCCCGUUUAUCUAAUUAGUUAGUAAAACACUUUGCACCUCCCAUCUCAUGUUUCCAAAAGGGGGGGAAUUAUAUUUAUGGUAAACAAAUUAUGGUUUGCUUUUGGAUUUGUGAAAAAAUCAUAUUUUUAACACUUGUUUAAACCAUUCUAUCAGUUUCAAAGGUUACAGAUAGAUUGUAUUCACCUAUUUAAAUGUUUUUAUGUAUUUGUAUGCAUAGAUAUGUUUUGGGGUGAUUUGAGGCAUGGGCAGUAACAAAAGCCACAGAACUAAUAACAGGUAAAGCUAACUGGGUACAAACUUUAACCCUUGCAUUGUCAUCUAUGAGACACCCCUAAGGGUCCCCAACAGUUAUUUCCUUUGUGUUGCUUUUUGGUAGACCACCAAAUACUGGGUUGUUUAUUCAAAUAUUGGUAGGAAGAACAUGUUUCUCUUACUGACUAUGUUAAGCAAUUGUAUAAGCAGCUAACUAACUUGUAUGGAAAAGUGUUCUAUUCUUUAGCAGAUUGUAUUUGGAACUCACUCUCUCCAAUCAGGAGAUUUGAGCCAAACUGAAUACACAUCUGACACUGUAAGAAGGUAUUUCCCCUACGAAGUCCUGCCGAGAGCCUGAGCAAAGUGUUAUCUCCAGUGACUGAGAGCCUGAGCAGAGUGUUAUCUCCAAUGGCAGAGUCUGAGCCUGUCCCUACACUCAACCCCCCCCAACGAGAUCACAUCAACAGAAAGACAACUAAGGAGACUGAUUCAGUCCUUCCAGAAUCAAGAGGAUAAAAAGCAUCUUUAAAGUCAGACGAGAGUGGUAACAAUAAUUCCACUAGUCUGUUAACCAACGGUCCCAGUUUAAGGUUUUGACACUAAGCGUGGGCCUACUCUGGGUGAAGAGGAUCACCAUCAGGAAGAAAAGGACUUUUAUAAAAUAAUGACUCUGUGUUUGUUAUUCUGGGUAAAGGUCCUUAUCAUUGCUUUACACCAGUAAAGGGGGGUUGGCAAAUUCUAUUUGGUUCUUACACCAGCAGGCUGCAAAGCAGUUACAUACUACUGACUGCUGGAGAUGUUUAUACGUUCCAGUCAAACACAAGGGGAUACUUUUAGUAGCUAUACCUAUCUCUAUGAAUGAUUUUAAUCUUACAGAUUAUAGCUAUGAAGUUGCAAUAGACACCAACCAUAAGUAUUAAAAUGCAAUUAAAGAUUGGGGAACAUAUUUGGAAAUAACAAGGUUACUAGAUACACCCACCAUAUACGUAGGAUCCAUGUUUGCUAAUCAUACAAUCACUUAAUGUACUUACCUAAGAUUCAUGUGGGAAACACAGAUUGUGAAAUUGCUAUUCUGAAUUUCUACAUGUAUUAUAUGGGAAAGAAAUAUGAUAAGAUGCAGGGUAAUUGUAAUGAUUAUGUUGGAGUGGGAAAAAUGUAUACUUCUUAUGUCUCCAGGUGUUCCUGCCCUGACCGAGGAGAAGAUAAAGAUAAGAGUUUUAAGUCUAAGGUGACAGAUAAUAUGAGAUGGUUUCAGAUAUUGCCUGGGGUAUCGGGGUACAAUCAUUUCUAGGAUACUUAGAUAAGAACUAUAUUAUAUUUGUGAGCUUACUCAUGGCUCCCUAUGGGAGCGUAGGGAAAUUGUACCAUAGGAAGAGUUGUACCUGUUAUCAGACAACACCUGAACAUCUCAUACAUAGACAAUCAAGGUAUCCAUUCCAGGGUAAUAAAAAAAAAAAGGAAUUAUUUUCCACCUCAGAUAAAGGAUGGAUGUGGUUCCCUGCCUUGAUAGGAUGGGGAACAGAAUUAGUCAAUAGAUUAAUUAAGUAUACUAGUAUAAUGGAUGGUAUAAUAAAUGAAACUAUAAGUUCCAUCAAAAUAAUAAAUGAGAAAUUGGCCUAAGUCAGGAAGAUGGCAUUAUAGAAUAGAAUGGUCCUAGAUUACCUACUAAUAGAUGAGGGUGGGGUUUAUACAAUCACAGGUAAGGAGAGUUGUACCUGGAUUGGGGACUCACAUGACCCAAUUGAGCCCUACAGAACCCUUUCUUAUUUAUGGGAAUCAUAAGGAUUUGGUUAUCAAAUGUUUAAAAGUUUUUAUGGUACUAAAUGUGUGGGAUUGCAAUGGGCCUUGUGUUAUAUAUUAUAGCAAGGUUGUGUUGUUGCAAAUACAGUAUUUUAUCCAGAGGUUACAUGGAGGGGCAGCUGAAGGGAGGGUGCUCACCCAUUUAGCUCCUGGAUCAAAUAUACAACAGCCCCUUCUGAUCAGCAACCUUCUGUGUUUGGCCGACCUUAUCCAUAGCAGGAUCCCAUUCCUGUAUGAAUAGGGUAAGGAAGAACUUGCUGAUUUAGAUGGGAACCCUAAUAGGCAACUCUGUACUGCCACUUAACCUUUUAUAGGUGAGCGGAAUAGAGUUCUGGGUAAGAAGAAUAUAUAUGUUCAAGAUUUUGAACAACAGGGAGGAAUGUUAGAGAAAAAAGAAACCAUCUUGUUUCUUUUCUCCAUCUUGUUCAUAUCAUUUAAUAUUAGAGGGGUUGUGAAAUACAUUGUAUAAGAAUGUUUCUUUUUGCUGUUGUAAAAACAUUUUUGAUGAGUUCGCAAACUUGUGAAAAGCAUAUUGGGUGUGACAGUCAACUUAGGCCUCUUUGUCUGUUCUUAGAGAUAACAAAGCUAACUACUGAUAAGACUGUUUCAGGACUAUAAGACAAACAUGCUUUGGGUCAUUCAAUGUAGUAUCAGCUCAUAGACAAUUCUCAUUUAAGAAUGUCUGGAUACUGCCUUCGUACAUACGAAUAAAAUGUAGCUACAAUCAAA
Molecule: long non-coding RNA, 4250 nt
Organism: Xenopus tropicalis (tropical clawed frog)
Lineage: Eukaryota; Metazoa; Chordata; Amphibia; Anura; Pipidae
Exons: 2
Source: RefSeq, a predicted model, not a curated record